RNAcentral lists this transfer RNA (57 nucleotides) under Acinetobacter baumannii. RNAcentral's name for it is "tRNA-Asp". It matches the Rfam family "tRNA", at positions 8 to 61 of the family's 71-position model. Rfam says of the family: Transfer RNA (tRNA) molecules are approximately 80 nucleotides in length. Lineage: Bacteria; Pseudomonadati; Pseudomonadota; Gammaproteobacteria; Moraxellales; Moraxellaceae. The record is from RNAcentral.
UAGUUCAGUUGGUUAGAAUACCGGCCUGUCACGCCGGGGGUCGCGGGUUCGAGCCCC